GUGUCCCAUCUGCUGUGAAAUUCUUGGCCCCCUUGGAAUUGGCAGGCUAGAAGGAGGGGGAUACAUAAGUGAGUACGAAUUGGCUUUUCUGGAUACAGCCUGGGAAGUGGGAUAUUUAACCCAUCUGUGUUUUCAUCCGCACCUGAUCAAGCCCACCAAGGCAGAACGGACUUUAAAAGUUAAGGGAGAAACAGUCUUGGAUCACGUGGUGUUCUGGUUUGGCCGUGCUGACCGGCCGGUGAAGACACGCCGAUCCCCCUUCUCCCUCUGGGAUCUGACAGGUAGGGCUCUUCUCACCCCAAUUAAGAAGGAGGCAGAAUGGCAAUUUAAGUGUCAUUGAGUGGAAAUAUCAGAAGUACAUAGGGUACUGAGAACUUCGUAGACAGAAAGAAAAGGAAAAGUAGAAGAAGAUCUGAGAAGUGGGCCCUCACAUGAUUGCAAGGAAAUAUGCCAGCAGACAUGACUUGAGAGACCAGCCAAUCCCAGACCCAGAUUUGGUCCUGUACACCAAGGGCACCAGCCUGGUGAAACAAGGACAACGACUGGUGGGAUGUGCAGUAGUCACGGAAGAAACCAUCGUUGAGGCCAGCUCUCUGCCAUCACACUGGUCCGCUCAACGGGCCCAACUAUAUGCUCUAAUCCGGGCCCUCCAGCUAUCAAAAGGACAGAAUCUCAGAACUGCACCGCCUGCUCCCAGGUCAAUGCUGCCUCCCAGCACAGACAGAAACCUCCGGGGAUUCAGCUAAAAGGCACGCUGCCCUCUGAACACCUGGAAGUGGACUUCACUGAAAUGAAACCUCACCGACAUUACUGUUACCUGCUGGUCAUGAGCCUUGAAAAUGAAGAUGAAGUUAAAAUGAGGCUCUAAGAGUGGGCCUUAAUCCAAUGUCACUGGUGACUGUGUGAGAAGAAGAAAUUUGGACAUACAAAGGGACACCAGAAGUAUCUGCUGCAAGAAAAGACCACAUGAAGACACCAUGAAAAGACAGGCAUCUGCAGCCAUUAGGAAAGGCUUCAGAAGAAACCAAACCAAUUGAUGGUUCAGUCGCUCAGUCGUGUCCGACUCUCUGCAACCCCAUGGACUGCAGCACGCCAGGGCUUCCCUGUCCAUCACCAACUCCCGGAGCUUGCUCAAACUCAUGUCCAUCGAGUUGGUGAUGCCAUCCAACCAUCUCAUCCUCAACCAAUUGACACCUUGACCUUAAACUUCCCACCGCUGCAACUGUGAGAAAGUAAAUUCUGUUUUUUAAGCCAUUAGUCUGUGGUAUUUGUUAUGGCAGUUCUAGCAAGCUAAUGUAGCCUCUUGUAGCAAGUACCGGGGACUUCCCUGGUGGUCCAGCAGCUAAGACUCUGCUCUCAAUGCAGGGGGACUGGGUUCAACCCCUGGUUGGGGAACUGGAUCCUGCAUGCUGCAACUAACGGUUCGUAUGCCACAACUAAGAGUUUGUAUUCCACAACUAAAGAUCCUGAAUGUUGCAAUGAAGAUCAAAGAUCCUAGGUGCUGCAACUAAGACCCAGUGCAGCCAAAUUAAAAAAAGAAAAGUACUGAUACUUUAAUGCCCAAAUAUGUUCAAGUCAGAGCAAAUGUAUGAAAUAGUUCUGCAGUAUGCUGACUAAAGUACAGUUGGCCCUUGAACAACACCGGGUUUAGGAGAACUGACCCUCUGUGUAGCUGAAAGUCCAAAUAUAAUUUAUAGUUGGUCCUUCAUAUCUGUGGUGCCACACCUCAGAUCUUGUAA
Molecule: long non-coding RNA, 1739 nt
Organism: Bos taurus (domestic cattle)
Lineage: Eukaryota; Metazoa; Chordata; Mammalia; Artiodactyla; Bovidae
Source: Ensembl